This 654-nucleotide long non-coding RNA is filed under the name Monodon monoceros (narwhal). Its description in RNAcentral is "lncRNA (ENSMMNG00015000773.1)". The record is from RNAcentral. Lineage: Eukaryota; Metazoa; Chordata; Mammalia; Artiodactyla; Monodontidae.
CCAGUGAAAUAUGAAUGGAUUUAAUGAGGCAGCCUGUGCCAUCUCUGAGCAGAAUCCUCCAUCUUUGGGACCAUCGUUCUCUUCUCACUACCAUGCGCCUUCUUGGUCCUAGAUAAUGAUACCAUUAACCUGAAUCCCAGAAGGAUGAGUGAGAAAUAGACUUGAUAAAAAUCAACAUACCACUGAAUUCUGCUGUUCUAAAAUCUGAGGCCUCUUGCUGUCUGGGUGCUUCAGGAAGACAUAUGCCUUCCACUGCCCACGGGAACAGUUCUUCUCAUCCCUUUUCUCGCAAAGGAAUAUCAUAGAAAAAAAAUUGAAAAAUACUUCCCCAUGUGAAGGAGCUUUGGUUCAGCUGCAGAGCUAAACUCACAUCUGCACUAGAUUGGAAUUGGCUGUGAAUGAUUACAAAUGAAAAUCUGUUGUUGCUGAAGGAUCUUAUUUGCAACAAAAGACAAGAACAGGAACAAAGAAAAUGCAACAUACAAUGCAGUAUUAGAACUUCAAAGGAAAACAAAAUGCAUGUUUACAGAAAGAGGAAAGCUGAAGGAAAUAAAACUCAGCACAAAAUAGAGCAACACUUGAAUGGCAACUGCUGGGAUGUACAAAGAGGAGACACAAAAUGGGAAGACAAGAUGCAUUUUUUUUAAAGGCAGG